RNAcentral lists this ribosomal RNA (422 nucleotides) under uncultured eukaryote. RNAcentral describes it as "SSU rRNA". It matches the Rfam family "Eukaryotic small subunit ribosomal RNA", at positions 592 to 1018 of the family's 1831-position model. The record is from RNAcentral.
CAAUAGCGUAUAUUAAAGUUGUUGCGGUUAAAAGCUCGUAGUUGGAUUUCUGUCGGUGAGGUUCAGUCCGCCCUCUGUGGUUGGUACGUGAUCCGCCACCGGCAUCUUCCUGGGGAAUGUGUCUGCUCUUUAUUGAGUGGUACAUAAGCCAGGACUUUUACUUUGAAGAAAUGAGAGUGUUUCAAGCAGGCAUGCGCCGUGAAUACGUUAGCAUGGGAUAAUAGCAUCGGACCUCGUUCCAAAGCUGUUGGUUUCUUGGACCGAGGUAAAGGUGAAUAGGGAUUGUUGGGGGCAUUCGUAUUUGACUGUCAGAGGUGAAAUUCUUGGAUUUGUUGAAGACGGACUACUGCGAAAGCAUCUGCCAAAGAUGUUCUCAUUGAUCAAGAACGAAAGUUAGGUGAUCGAAGAUGAUUAGAUACCGU